UACAGAGGGUGCAAACGUUUGUUCGGAUUUACUGGGCGUAAAGCGCGUGUAGGCUGCUUCGCAAGUCGGAUGUGAAAGCCCUGGGCUCAACCCAGGAAGUGCAUUCGAAACUGCAGAGCUGGAGUCCUGGAGAGGAAGGCGGAAUUCUCGGUGUAGAGGUGGAAUGCGUAGAGAUCCGGAAGAACACCGGUGGCGAAGGCGGUUAGCUGGGCAGUAGCUGGACACUGAGGCGCGACAGCUGUGGGGAGCAAGCAGG
Molecule: ribosomal RNA, 256 nt
Filed under: uncultured bacterium
Lineage: Bacteria
Description: partial 16S ribosomal RNA
Rfam family: Bacterial small subunit ribosomal RNA
Source: RNAcentral